RNAcentral lists this ribosomal RNA (253 nucleotides) under uncultured bacterium. Its description in RNAcentral is "partial 16S ribosomal RNA". It matches the Rfam family "Bacterial small subunit ribosomal RNA", at positions 524 to 776 of the family's 1533-position model. The record is from RNAcentral.
UACGUAGGCAGCGAGCGUUGUUCGGAGUUACUGGGCGUAAAGGGUGUGUAGGCGGUUUUCUAAGUUUGGUGUGAAAUCUCCCGGCUCAACCGGGAGGGUGCGCCGAAAACUGGGAGACUAGAGUGCGGGAUGGGAGAGUAGAAUUCCUGGUGUAGCGGUGAAAUGCGUAGAUAUCAGGAGGAAUACCGGUGGUGAAGACGGCUCUCUGGACCGCCACUGACGCUGAGACACGAAAGCGUGGGGAGCAAACAGG